This 208-nucleotide ribosomal RNA is filed under the name Hypocreales sp. RNAcentral's name for it is "partial large subunit ribosomal RNA". The record is from RNAcentral. Lineage: Eukaryota; Fungi; Ascomycota; Sordariomycetes; Hypocreales.
AAGCGCUUAUGACCAGACUUGUACUCGGUGAAUCAUCCAGUGUUCUCACUGGUGCACUUUGCCGUGUUCAGGCCAGCAUCGGUUUUCUUAGGGGGAUAAAGGCCUCGGGAAUGUAGCUCCUCGGAGUGUUAUAGCCCGUUGCAAAAUACCCUUCAGGGGACCGAGGUUCGCGCAUUUGCUAGGAUGCUGGCGUAAUGGUCAUCAGCGG